GGAACCGUGCCCGAAUGCCCAGGGACCACUUUGAUAGAGUAGCGUAUAGGGGCUAAAAUCCCCUCGGUUCUU
Molecule: transfer RNA, 72 nt
Filed under: Rhodeus suigensis (spring bitterling)
Lineage: Eukaryota; Metazoa; Chordata; Actinopteri; Cypriniformes; Acheilognathidae
Description: tRNA-Ile
Source: RNAcentral